GUCAACUACCCCUGCCUAAAUGGGAGGGGCAUGUAGUUACGUACAAGCCUGGUUGACCAGGAUAAGUUACGGAGCAGUGGCGAUGCAAAGAAGUAACUACGUAAGCGAUAGGUUAUACAAGACCCACUCCGGGAUGCUUCCUCUGUCUAGGAUCCUGGA
Molecule: small RNA, 159 nt
Filed under: Candidatus Methylacidiphilum fumarolicum
Lineage: Bacteria; Pseudomonadati; Verrucomicrobiota; Methylacidiphilae; Methylacidiphilales; Methylacidiphilaceae
Description: Methylacidiphilum fumariolicum HEARO
Rfam family: HNH endonuclease-associated RNA and ORF (HEARO) RNA
Source: RNAcentral